RNAcentral lists this ribosomal RNA (466 nucleotides) under uncultured bacterium. RNAcentral's name for it is "partial 16S ribosomal RNA". It matches the Rfam family "Bacterial small subunit ribosomal RNA", at positions 339 to 795 of the family's 1533-position model. The record is from RNAcentral.
CUACGGGGUGCUCCAGUGGGGAAUAUUGGACAAUGGGGGAAACCCUGAUCCAGCAAUGCCGCGUGUGUGAAGAAGGCCUGCGGGUUGUAAAGCCCUUUCGGUUGGGAGGACUGCUUCUAGCACUAAUAUUGUUGGAAGUUGACGUUACCUUCAGAAGAAGCACCGGCUAGCUCCGUGCCAGCAGGCCGCGGUAAUACGGAGGGUGCAAGCGUUAAUCGGAAUUACUGGGCGUAAAGCGCGCGUAGGCGGCUAGAUCAGUCGGGUGUGAAAGCCCCGGGCUUAACCUGGGAACUGCAUCCGAUUCUGUCUAGCUUGAGUACAGGAGAGGAGAGUGGAAUUCCACAUGUAGCGGUGAAAUGCGUAGAUAUGUGGAGGAACACCAAUGGCGAAGGCAGCUCUCUGGCCUGAUACUGACGCUGAGGUGCGAAAGCGUGGGGAGCAAACAGGAUUAGAUACCCUUGUAGUC